RNAcentral lists this ribosomal RNA (478 nucleotides) under Acidovorax defluvii. Its description in RNAcentral is "bacterial SSU rRNA". It matches the Rfam family "Bacterial small subunit ribosomal RNA", at positions 88 to 563 of the family's 1533-position model. The record is from RNAcentral. Lineage: Bacteria; Pseudomonadati; Pseudomonadota; Betaproteobacteria; Burkholderiales; Comamonadaceae.
CUGACGAGUGGCGAACGGGUGAGUAAUACAUCGGAACGUGCCCGAUCGUGGGGGAUAACGGAGCGAAAGCUUUGCUAAUACCGCAUACGAUCUACGGAUGAAAGCAGGGGACCGCAAGGCCUUGCGCGGACGGAGCGGCCGAUGGCAGAUUAGGUAGUUGGUGGGAUAAAAGCUUACCAAGCCGACGAUCUGUAGCUGGUCUGAGAGGACGACCAGCCACACUGGGACUGAGACACGGCCCAGACUCCUACGGGAGGCAGCAGUGGGGAAUUUUGGACAAUGGGCGAAAGCCUGAUCCAGCCAUGCCGCGUGCAGGAUGAAGGCCUUCGGGUUGUAAACUGCUUUUGUACGGAACGAAAAGACUCCUUCUAAUAAAGGGGGUCCAUGACGGUACCGUAAGAAUAAGCACCGGCUACUACGUGCCACAAGCCGCGCUAAUACGUAGGGUGCAAGCGUUAAUCGGAAUUACUGGGCGUAA